This 258-nucleotide ribosomal RNA is filed under the name uncultured Oscillospiraceae bacterium. RNAcentral describes it as "partial 16S ribosomal RNA". It matches the Rfam family "Bacterial small subunit ribosomal RNA", at positions 82 to 339 of the family's 1533-position model. Lineage: Bacteria; Bacillati; Bacillota; Clostridia; Eubacteriales; Oscillospiraceae. The record is from RNAcentral.
AACAAUGGCUUUAGUGGCGGACUGGUGAGUAACACGUAAGCAACCUGCCUAUCAGAGGGGAACAACAGUUAGAAAUGACUGCUAAUACCGCAUAUGCCUAAGUAUCACAUGGUACAAUAGGGAAAGAAGCAAUUCGCUGAUAGAUGGGCUUGCGUCUGAUUAGAUAGUUGGUGGGGUAAUGGCCUACCAAGUCGACGAUCAGUAGCCGGACUGAGAGGUUGAACGGCCACAUUGGGACUGAGAUACGGCCCAGACUCC